AUGUCUGGGAAACUGCCUGAUGGAGGGGGAUAACUACUGGAAACGGUAGCUAAUACCGCAUAAUGUCGCAAGACCAAAGUGGGGGACCUUCGGGCCUCAUGCCAUCAGAUGUGCCCAGAUGGGAUUAGCUAGUAGGUGGGGUAACGGCUCACCUAGGCGACGAUCCCUAGCUGGUCUGAGAGGAUGACCAGCCACACUGGAACUGAGACACGGUCCAGACUCCUACGGGAGGCAGCAGUGGGGAAUAUUGCACAAUGGGCGCAAGCCUGAUGCAGCCAUGCCGCGUGUGUGAAGAAGGCCUUCGGGUUGUAAAGCACUUUCAGCGGGGAGGAAGGCGUUAAGGUUAAUAACCUUGGCGAUUGACGUUACCCGCAGAAGAAGCACCGGCUAACUCCGUGCCAGCAGCCGCGGUAAUACGGAGGGUGCAAGCGUUAAUCGGAAUUACUGGGCGUAAAGCGCACGCAGGCGGUCUGUCAAGUCGGAUGUGAAAUCCCCGGGCUCAACCUGGGAACUGCAUUCGAAACUGGCAGGCUAGAGUCUUGUAGAGGGGGGUAGAAUUCCAGGUGUAGCGGUGAAAUGCGUAGAGAUCUGGAGGAAUACCGGUGGCGAAGGCGGCCCCCUGGACAAAGACUGACGCUCAGGUGCGAAAGCGUGGGGAGCAAACAGGAUUAGAUACCCUGGUAGUCCACGCCGUAAACGAUGUCGAUUUGGAGGUUGUGCCCUUGAGGCGUGGCUUCCGGAGCUAACGCGUUAAAUCGACCGCCUGGGGAGUACGGCCGCAAGGUUAAAACUCAAAUGAAUUGACGGGGGCCCGCACAAGCGGUGGAGCAUGUGGUUUAAUUCGAUGCAACGCGAAGAACCUUACCUGGUCUUGACAUCCACAGACUUUCCAGAGAUGGAUUGGUGCCUUCGGGAACUGUGAGACAGGUGCUGCAUGGCUGUCGUUCAGCUCGUGUUGUGAAAUGUUGGGUUAAGUCCCGCAACGAGCGCAACCCUUAUCUUUGUUGCCAGCGGUUAGGCCGGGAACUCAAAGGAGACUGCCAGUGAUA
Molecule: ribosomal RNA, 1049 nt
Filed under: Klebsiella sp. NTY36
Lineage: Bacteria; Pseudomonadati; Pseudomonadota; Gammaproteobacteria; Enterobacterales; Enterobacteriaceae
Description: bacterial SSU rRNA
Rfam family: Bacterial small subunit ribosomal RNA
Source: RNAcentral